This 465-nucleotide ribosomal RNA is filed under the name Vreelandella stevensii. Its description in RNAcentral is "partial 16S ribosomal RNA". It matches the Rfam family "Bacterial small subunit ribosomal RNA", at positions 338 to 795 of the family's 1533-position model. The record is from RNAcentral. Lineage: Bacteria; Pseudomonadati; Pseudomonadota; Gammaproteobacteria; Oceanospirillales; Halomonadaceae.
CCUACGGGGGGCAGCAGUGGGGAAUAUUGGACAAUGGGCGAAAGCCUGAUCCAGCCAUGCCGCGUGUGUGAAGAAGGCCUUCGGGUUGUAAAGCACUUUCAGUGGGGAAGAAAGCCUUGGGGCUAAUACCCUCGAGGAAGGACAUCACCCACAGAAGAAGCACCGGCUAACUCCGUGCCAGCAGCCGCGGUAAUACGGAGGGUGCGAGCGUUAAUCGGAAUUACUGGGCGUAAAGCGCGCGUAGGCGGUCUGAUAAGCCGGUUGUGAAAGCCCCGGGCUCAACCUGGGAACGGCAUCCGGAACUGUCAGGCUAGAGUGCAGGUGAGGAAGGUAGAAAUCCCGGUGUAGCGGUGAAAUGCGUAGAGAUCGGGAGGAAUACCAGUGGCGAAGGCGGCCUUCUGGACUGACACUGACGCUGAGGUGCGAAAGCGUGGGUAGCAAACAGGAUUAGAUACCCGUGUAGGC